This 484-nucleotide ribosomal RNA is filed under the name uncultured bacterium. Its description in RNAcentral is "partial 16S ribosomal RNA". It matches the Rfam family "Bacterial small subunit ribosomal RNA", at positions 30 to 507 of the family's 1533-position model. The record is from RNAcentral.
AUUGAACGCUGGCGGCAGGCCUAACACAUGCAAGUCGAGCGGAUGAAGGGAGCUUGCUCCUGGAUUCAGCGGCGGACGGGUGAGUAAUGCCUAGGAAUCUGCCUGGUAGUGGGGGAUAACGUCCGGAAACGGGCGCUAAUACCGCAUACGUCCUGAGGGAGAAAGUGGGGGAUCUUCGGACCUCACGCUAUCAGAUGAGCCUAGGUCGGAUUAGCUAGUUGGUGGGGUAAAGGCCUACCAAGGCGACGAUCCGUAACUGGUCUGAGAGGAUGAUCAGUCACACUGGAACUGAGACACGGUCCAGACUCCUACGGGAGGCAGCAGUAGGGAAUAUUGGACAAUGGGCGAAGGCCUGAUCCAGCCAUGCCGCGUGUGUGAAGAAGGUCUUCGGAUUGUAAAGCACUUUAAGUUGGGAGGAAGGGCAGUAAGUUAAUACCUUGCUGUUUUGACGUUACCAACAGAAUAAGCACCGGCUAACUUCGUG